AUUGAACGCUGGCGGAAUGCUUUACACAUGCAAGUCGAACGGCAGCACGGGGGCAACCCUGGUGGCGAGUGGCGAACGGGUGAGUAAUACAUCGGAACGUGCCCAGUCGUGGGGGAUAACGUAGCGAAAGUUACGCUAAUACCGCAUACGAUCUACGGAUGAAAGCGGGGGACCGUAAGGCAUCGCGCGAUUGGAGCGGCAGAUGUCAGAUUAGGUAGUUGGUGAGGUAAAGGCUCACCAAGCCGACGAUCUGUAGCUGGUCUGAGAGGACGACCAGCCACACUGGGACUGAGACACGGCCCAGACUCCUACGGGAGGCAGCAGUGGGGAAUUUUGGACAAUGGGCGCAAGCCUGAUCCAGCCAUUCCGCGUGCAGGACGAAGGCCUUCGGGUUGUAAACUGCUUUUGUACGGAACGAAAAGGCUCUGGUUAAUACCUGGGGCUCAUGACGGUACCGUAAGAAUAAGCACCGGCUAACUACGUGCCAGCCGCCGCUGUAA
RNAcentral lists this ribosomal RNA (500 nucleotides) under uncultured bacterium. RNAcentral's name for it is "partial 16S ribosomal RNA". It matches the Rfam family "Bacterial small subunit ribosomal RNA", at positions 30 to 523 of the family's 1533-position model. The record is from RNAcentral.